AUUCUGGAUCAUAUGCAGCGCUGGAGAUGAGCAUAUUCCAGGGAAUAUUGGCCUUUUGGACCAGACCCAAGCCCUGAGGUGGGUCAAGGAGCAUAUUCAAAACUUUGGAGGAAACCCAGAUUUGGUCACCAUAUUUGGUGAAUCUGCUGGUGGUAUCAGUGUCUCACUUCUGCUUCUGUUUCCCUUGUCUGAUGGCCUGUUUCAUCGAGCCAUUGCUGAGAGUGGAACAGCUGCAAUGGAUGUGCUUUGGAACAAUCCUGUACCAGUGAUGCAGGCCGUAGCAAAUGCCUCAGGCUGUAGCCUGGAAAGCACAGAGAAGAUUGCUGCAUGCAUGAAGAACCUUGAUAUUGGCACCAUAUUGGCAUUUGACAAGGAUCCAUUUUUGAGAUUUCCUGUGAAUGCUGAUGGGCACUUCCUGACUAAACCUGUGCCUGAGUUGUUCCAGAAUCAUGAACUCAUUACUAUACCAAUCAUGACUGGGGUUAAUAAUCAUGAAGGUUUUGUUGUUGCUGAUCACUUUGGACCUCUAAAUUGGACAGAAGGAAUGAGUCGAGAGCAGGUUGCGAAGAUGCUGUCCAUUUUUUACCCCCCUGUGAGAUCCUCUUUGCCUGAUAUGUCGAUGUUGCUUUUUCCUCCGGAGGAUUUUCUUUUAUUUAUUUAUUUUUU
Molecule: long non-coding RNA, 666 nt
Organism: Cyprinodon tularosa
Lineage: Eukaryota; Metazoa; Chordata; Actinopteri; Cyprinodontiformes; Cyprinodontidae
Exons: 5
Source: RefSeq, a predicted model, not a curated record